Long non-coding RNA from Thalassophryne amazonica, 320 nucleotides. RefSeq lists it as uncharacterized. The transcript has 3 exons. Lineage: Eukaryota; Metazoa; Chordata; Actinopteri; Batrachoidiformes; Batrachoididae. The record is from RefSeq and is a predicted model, not a curated record.
CCUGGCUGGGUGCUAUUAACUGUCCAAUCUGGCAGACAAAUGGUCACUUUGCUCUUCCCUCUGUUUCACGCGCACCCCACGGCUCAGGCAACCCAGAACGGUGAGGCUGAACCACUGCUCCUGUUAAGAGACGUCAACGAUUACAACCGCAGGUUCUCAGGCCAACCGAGAUCCUUUAUGGACAGGCUGCGUGACGUCCCCACCCUUCUUCGCCAUGCUUUCAGGGAGAUGUUUUCUGUGGGAGGCCUCUUCUGGAUGUUCAGGAUUCGGAUUCUUCUCUGCUUGUUAGGCGCCAUCACCUAUCUGGCCUCGCCGCUCGA